GAUCCUGGCUCAGGAUGAACGCUGGCGGCGUGCUUAACACAUGCAAGUCGAACGGACUUGUGUUGCGGAAGCCUUCGGGUGGAAGAAAUACAAGUUAGUGGCGGACGGGUGAGUAACGCGUGGGUAACCUGCCCUGUACCGGGGGAUAACACUUAGAAAUAGGUGCUAAUACCGCAUAAGUGCACAGAGUCGCAUGACUUAGUGUAAAAAACUCCGGUGGUACAGGAUGGACCCGCGUCUGAUUAGCUGGUUGGUG
RNAcentral lists this ribosomal RNA (256 nucleotides) under uncultured bacterium. RNAcentral describes it as "partial 16S ribosomal RNA". It matches the Rfam family "Bacterial small subunit ribosomal RNA", at positions 15 to 254 of the family's 1533-position model. The record is from RNAcentral.